This 396-nucleotide ribosomal RNA is filed under the name uncultured bacterium. RNAcentral describes it as "partial 16S ribosomal RNA". It matches the Rfam family "Bacterial small subunit ribosomal RNA", at positions 523 to 918 of the family's 1533-position model. The record is from RNAcentral.
AUACGUAGGUGGCAAGCGUUGUCCGGAUUUACUGGGUAUAAAGGGCGUGUAGGCGGAGAUGCAAGUCAGGAGUGAAAUCUAGGGGCUCAACCCCUAAACUGCUUUUGAAACUGUAUCCCUUGAGUAUCGGAGAGGCAGGCGGAAUUCCUAGUGUAGCGGUGAAAUGCGCAGAUAUUAGGAGGAACACCAGUGGCGAAGGCGGCCUGCUGGACGACAACUGACGCUGAGGCGCGAAAGCGUGGGGAGCAAACAGGAUUAGAUACCCUGGUAGUCCACGCUGUAAACGAUGAAUACUAGGUGUGGGGGGACUGACCCCCUCCGUGCCGCAGUUAACACAAUAAGUAUUCCACCUGGGGAGUACGAUCGCAAGAUUGAAACUCAAAGGAAUUGACGGGG